RNAcentral lists this long non-coding RNA (229 nucleotides) under Mytilus galloprovincialis (Mediterranean mussel). The record is from RNAcentral. Lineage: Eukaryota; Metazoa; Mollusca; Bivalvia; Mytilida; Mytilidae.
GUUUACUUUUCUACAUUGGCUUGAGGUAUAGGGGGAGGGUUGAGAUCUCACAAACAUGUUUAACACCGCCGCAUUUUUGCGCCUGUCCCAAGUCAGGAGCUUCUGGCCUUUGUUAGUCUUGUAUUAUUUUAAUUUUAGUUUCUUGUGUACAAUUUGGAAAUUAGUAUGGCGUUCAUUAUCACUGAACUAGUAUAUAUUUGUUUAGGGGCCAGUUGAAGGACGCCUCCGG